Molecule: non-coding RNA, 1286 nt
Filed under: Schistocephalus solidus
Lineage: Eukaryota; Metazoa; Platyhelminthes; Cestoda; Diphyllobothriidea; Diphyllobothriidae
Description: Eukaryotic small subunit ribosomal RNA
Rfam family: Eukaryotic small subunit ribosomal RNA
Source: Rfam by way of RNAcentral
GACCGAGGGUGCAUCCACGGGGCCCUAUUUUCUCGUCGGAAGAAGGAUACAGGUGUUGUUCAGUAGGAUAUUAAGUUCCGCAGAGGUUCGAAGAAUAAGGAUCCCGUUAUCAUUACAGGAAAAUAAUGGUUCGAUACCAGAGAAAGAGAGAGUCUGAGAAACCAAUUCCGUUUCCAAGGGAGGCAGCAGACACGCAAAUAACCCACUCCCAGUAUAGGGAGGUGGUGACGACAAAUACCGAUUUGGUACUUUUAUGAAGGCUUCGUAAUCGGAAUGAGUGAACUGUAAAUCAUUUUACGAGGAUCAAUUAAAGGGCAAGUCUGGUGCCAGGAGCCAAGUUAACUUCAGCUCCAAUAGCGUAUGUUAAAAUUGCUGCAGUUAAAAACUCGUAGUUAGAUCUCGGUAUGACUGUCGCCUGCAAUUCCUCGGCUGAUUGUGUCGGCGCCAGUCGGACCUUGCUUCGCUUGGUGUCCCUUCCCAGGCAUGGUUAUGCUCGAGUUGGUGGUUAGGUGGUGUCACAUUUCAGCCAUGUCUGUUGAGAAAUACCCGCAGGGUAGGUGAUUAACAGGUGGUGCUCUGCGACAGUAGUGUUAAUCGACUCGUCUGCACGCCUUUGGAUGCCCUUAAAAAGGUGUUUAUGGGCAGAUAGCACGUUUACAUUGAGCAAAUGUGAUGGCGCAAACUAGGCAGUUGUUAGCUGAAAUAUUUUGCAUUGAAUAAUGGAAUAAGAGUUUGGUUCUAUUUCGUUGGUUUUCAAAUGCGAUUAAAUGAUCAAAAGUGACAGGCGGGGACUUUUGUAUGGUUGCGCUAGAGGUAAAUUCAUAGACUGUAACCAGACAAAUAAAAGCGAAAGCAUUUGUCAAGCAUAUAUUUAGGGGCCAUGAGUGUAAGUCAAAGGCUUGAAGGUGAUCAGAUAACUUCCUAGUGCUGACCAUAAAUGAUGCCAACUUUCGAUCCAUGGUGGUAUUAUUUUAAAUAUCCCCACGGGUAGUCCCAGGGAAACCUUAAAGUCUUUGGUUUCCGGGGAAACUAUGGUUCUAAAGCUAAAAAAUAAAAUAAUUUAUGGAAGGAACCACCAGGCGUGCUGUCUGUGGCUUAAUAAACUGAACACGGGAAAAUUACACCUGCCCGGACACUGUAAGAAUUGACAGAUUGCUAGUCCUUUCUUGAUUUGGUGGUUGUUAAUGCAUGACCGUUCUUACUCGAUGGAGCAAUUUGUCUGGUUAAUUCAUAUAACGAACGACACGCCUGUACUCUGUUCCUGUGCUGACGGCAUGCCUAUUAUU